Molecule: non-coding RNA, 73 nt
Organism: Fukomys damarensis (Damara mole-rat)
Lineage: Eukaryota; Metazoa; Chordata; Mammalia; Rodentia; Bathyergidae
Source: Rfam
AGGGAUUAAGCUCAGUGGUUCCAGCACCUGCCUCAAAAGCAGAAGGACCCAAGUUUGAUCCCUGGUACCCCCC